Molecule: long non-coding RNA, 316 nt
Organism: Cyanistes caeruleus (blue tit)
Lineage: Eukaryota; Metazoa; Chordata; Aves; Passeriformes; Paridae
Source: RefSeq, a predicted model, not a curated record
GUUCCACCUAAAGAAUCAGACCUCAUAAAGGCAAUGAGUAAAGCACCCGCUUAAAUGCCGAUGCAGCAUUUGCAGGUCUCUGUUACUGGUACCAUCCCAAAAUACAGCAGUCUUGAGGCAGUAGGAACUCAACCAACACAGGUACUGCAUGGCAGAGCAGCAGAAAAUCCUCCAUUUUCCCCUGCAACAGAAGCCUGACCUGCAGUCAUCCAAACCAGCAUGACAGGUCUUCCUCAAGUGGAAAACAACCCCCCCCAGCUGGAGGAGACACUUCAGGAACCUCACAUCCUUCCUAGGAUAGAGUCUUCUCUCUUCU